RNAcentral lists this ribosomal RNA (403 nucleotides) under uncultured bacterium. RNAcentral's name for it is "partial 16S ribosomal RNA". It matches the Rfam family "Bacterial small subunit ribosomal RNA", at positions 30 to 526 of the family's 1533-position model. The record is from RNAcentral.
AUUGAACGCUGGCGGCAGGCCUAACACAUGCAAGUCGAGCGAGCGGAGGACGGGUGAGUAAUGUAUGGGGACUGCCCGAUAGAGGGGGAGAACUACUGGAAACGGUAGCUAAUACCGAAUACUAUCGGAUAACCAAUCUGGGAUUGGCUAGUUGGUGAGGUAAUGGCUCACCUAGGCGACGAUCCCUAGCUGGUCUGAGAGGAGGAUCAGCCACACUGGGAUGUGGACACGGCCCAGACUCCUACGGAGGCAGCAGUGGGGAAUAUUGCACAAUGGGCGCAAGCCUGAUGCAGCCAUGCCGCGUGUAUGAAGAAGGCCCUAGGGUUGUAAAGUACUUUCAGUCGGGAGGCGUUACCGACAGAAGAAGCACCGGCUAACUCCGUGCCAGCCGCCGCGGUAAUUC